CGACUAGCCGAGCGACUUCCUAAACAGUCCAGAGGUGAUGUGAUUUGCCCCAAGUCGGCAACUUCCUGGAAUUAGAAACCGAUCGGAAGACUUCCAUGUGGGUGUUCUUUCCGCUACUAUCAGGUUACCUCCGAGCCUUAGGAUCUGCUUUUGAAAAGGAAUGAAGAGGUCGUCUAGGGAGAGCCACUGAAGGAAAAAAUAUUCAGAUUUGGCAAGUGUCUUAUGCAAAGUAGGUACCUAAUAAGCAUUUGCCACCUGGACGACCGCAUGGCUGGAUGCACCCCAUCCACCAUAGACAUGCAGGAGGAUUUGUGGAAAUAGCCCCACCUAGGAGGCACGAUAUUUUCCUAAAAGUGGAUUACUGUGAAGGGUACGCCCACAUUUAAGGCUCUCGAUUCUGAACCCCUCCAGCGGUGCAAGAAUGAGUCAGCUUCCCAGCACGCUGGCUCCAACACUGUCAUCUUUCUAAGGUCAGAUCUGAAAUUUUAGCCUCCAGCUUGAAGCUCUCCAUCCCUCCAGGGUAAAGUCCACCUUCACAAAUCUGGGUUAAAAGGUGUUACGCCCUCUGGGCCCUGCUGGUCCCUCUAGCACACGUCUCCACCCACGGGAGCCGCUCUCUGCACAGCCACAGAGUUACAGCCGCAGACACUCCCUCCCGCCCCCUCCCCCUGAGCCCAGCCAACUCCUCCUCGCUCUUCGGGUCUCCGCUUGGACACUCUGACAGGCAGCCUUUAAGACGGCCCCGCUGAUCCGCGCCUCCUGGUAUUCACGCCCUUGAGUGUGUUUCCUGAUGUGAUUCCGGAGAACAGAGUAUGGCAGGAGUGACAUCAGCUCCGCAAAGACUGUGGCUCCUUUCUGGGGGCCCUCCCCCGACUCACCUGCUCUGCAGGAAGCCAGAUGGGGCCACGUGACCAGGAACAGAGGGGAGGCCCCCAGCCAGCAGCCCGUGAGGAACUGACUCCUGUCAGCAACCGCAGGAGCGGGCUCGGAACCAGGUCCUCGGAACCAGAUCCUCGGAACCAGGUCCUCCACCGGAGCUGAGCGUUCAGAUGGGACGGCAGCCUCGGCUAAUGGCAAAACUGCCGCCCCACUGAAGCCCUUCAGCCUGGAGGCGCCCAGCGAAGCCACACCUUGAUUUCUGACCCAAAGAAACUGUGAGAUAAUCAUCGUCUGUUGGUUUAAGCAGCUCCACCUUUUUGUUAAUUUGUUACACGCAGAAAUAGAUAACCAGUACCACCUCUGGACCCCUGCCCCUCCUCCACACCAACUUCAGGGUCCUCCUGACUUCCGAUUUCCACCAGUCAUGCUCAGUGCUUAGCCCUUAGUAGUAGAAUUAGGGAUUUGUCCAGAUCUCUGCCCCCAGACUGCAGGCUCUUUGGGGAAAAAAAGAAAAAGCCCAGGGACUUCCCUGGUGGUGCAGUGGUUAAGAAUCCACCUGCCAUGUCAUACAGAGUGAAGUAAGUCAGAAGGAGAAAAACAA
This is a long non-coding RNA of Physeter macrocephalus (sperm whale), 1480 nucleotides long. RefSeq lists it as uncharacterized. The record is from RefSeq and is a predicted model, not a curated record. The transcript has 5 exons. Lineage: Eukaryota; Metazoa; Chordata; Mammalia; Artiodactyla; Physeteridae.